UCCGGUUUGUCACCGGCAGUCUACUUAAAGUGCCGAUUGCUCGUUGCAACUAAGUAUAGGGGUUGCGCUCGUUACGGGACUUAACCCAACAUCUCACGACACGAGCUGACGACAGCCAUGCAGCACCUGUGCACGGACUCCGAAGAGGGGCUCCCGUUUCUGGAAGCUUUCCCGUGUAUGUCAAGCCUAGGUAAGGUUCUUCGCGUUGCGUCGAAUUAAACCACAUGCUCCACCGCUUGUGCGGGCCCCCGUCAAUUCCUUUGAGUUUCAGCCUUGCGGCCGUACUCCCCAGGCGGGGCACUUAAUGCGUUAGCGCCGGCCCUCGGGGGGUCGCUCCCCCAAGCGCCUAGUGCCCAUCGUUUACGGCGUGGACUAC
Molecule: unclassified non-coding RNA, 376 nt
Filed under: uncultured Gemmatimonadaceae bacterium
Lineage: Bacteria; Pseudomonadati; Gemmatimonadota; Gemmatimonadia; Gemmatimonadales; Gemmatimonadaceae
Description: contains 16S-23S intergenic spacer region
Source: RNAcentral